Molecule: long non-coding RNA, 220 nt
Filed under: Carica papaya (papaya)
Lineage: Eukaryota; Viridiplantae; Streptophyta; Magnoliopsida; Brassicales; Caricaceae
Description: long non-coding RNA (CPAP_LNC002110)
Source: RNAcentral
UUUACCCCCACCUGCUGGAUAGCCUACUCGAUCUUCCCAACCAUGUCAGCAUUAUGGUCGCUCACAUGAUGAAUUACCCUGUCAGUGUAUCAAUCAUGCCUGCUAUCAAUGCGGAAGCACCCAACAUCUUAUAAAGGACUACCCUCAGCAGCCGAAGGACAUGGUCAAACCUGUAACCCAAGAUCGUGUGUACCACCUAGAUGAACCCAGUGCCCUCCCU